RNAcentral lists this non-coding RNA (22 nucleotides) under Arabidopsis thaliana (thale cress). The record is from RNAcentral. Lineage: Eukaryota; Viridiplantae; Streptophyta; Magnoliopsida; Brassicales; Brassicaceae.
UCUACCUUCUUGAGAUGCAGCC